UUUUUUAGAAAUUCCAGGAGUUUUGCUUAUUUACUUAUUUUUGAAGUUGUUUUUAUACUAAUAAAAAUGUAUAAAAUUUGUCUAAAUUAAAGGUUAUUUUGAAACAGCUAUCGAACUUUUCGAAAUUUUAAUUUUUUUGCUUAACCUUUCAAUUCGUUUGAUUUAAGUCAGUCAAUAAUAUUCUGACUCUAAAAUUUAAAUGUUUAUAGUAAAGAUUAGGUAAACUAUAUGUACUGAUCAGAGAGAUGUUUCUAUACGAUUAAACUUGGCCCGAUGAAAUCCAGAUUUUUAAAUCUAAAAAUACCACGACAACGAUGUACGAAUUAAAAACUAGUGAAAAUAAAAACAAUUUGACUCAAAUU
This 362-nucleotide long non-coding RNA is filed under the name Ananas comosus (pineapple). RNAcentral describes it as "long non-coding RNA (ACOM_LNC032383)". Lineage: Eukaryota; Viridiplantae; Streptophyta; Magnoliopsida; Poales; Bromeliaceae. The record is from RNAcentral.